Molecule: long non-coding RNA, 715 nt
Filed under: Homo sapiens (human)
Lineage: Eukaryota; Metazoa; Chordata; Mammalia; Primates; Hominidae
Description: non-protein coding lnc-KLHL28-1:3
Source: RNAcentral
GCUCCGAGUGCGGGCCCGCCUAGCCCAGCGCCCACCCGGAACCGGCGCCGGCCCGUGAGCACCGCGUGCAGCACCGGCUCCCGCCCGCGCCUUUCUCUCCACACCUCCCUGCGAGGAGAGGGAGCCGGCUGCGGCCUCGGCCAGUCCCAUAGUGGGACCCCUCCAGCGCAGCGGACGGCUGAAGGGGUCCUUGAGCGCGGCCACUGCUUGAGCGCGGCCAGAGUGGACGCCGAGGCCGAGGAGGCGCGGAGAGAGAGCGAGGACUGCUAAUCUCCUCCGGGAGUGGUGGGCAGCUACUGUGAAAGGCCUGGUUCAAAAACCUCACAGCGGUUGUUUUCAGAGUUGUCCCUCCUGUGUACUCUCAAAGCCCCAGAAUGAAGCAAAGCAUCCUCCCUUUUCAAACUGGCACUCUUCCCCAACCUUGAGGACCACUAGGCACUUUGUUUUUAAAGCCACAGUUACUUUUAUGGAGAAGUAUUGUUAUGAAAAAAGGGAGGCAUCUGAGGAGUGGAAACAGAGAAAUGAGUGACUGAGAUCAGUGUCUUAUUUUGACCAUCUUUUCCAAGUGCUGCAUCCUCCCAAACACAACAUGAACUCAACACUUAAUAAAGCUGCAGUCCUACGUGUUUUAUUUGUGUAAGAAACUAAGUCCAAAACAUUCUGCAACGCGAGUAAAAAUUCACUUCUGCAAUAUAUUAAACACACAUGAACACAG